RNAcentral lists this ribosomal RNA (227 nucleotides) under Pheidole fracticeps. RNAcentral's name for it is "partial large subunit ribosomal RNA". The record is from RNAcentral. Lineage: Eukaryota; Metazoa; Arthropoda; Insecta; Hymenoptera; Formicidae.
GAAUUUUAUAUAAAUUUAUUAAAUAAUUUAGUAUAAAAAUAUAUUAAUUAAUAAAUUUAUAUUUUAUUGGGAGGAUAGUUAAAUUAGAUGAACUUUAAUAGAAUUUAAAAAUCAUUAAUUUAUGAAUUAAAAGUAAAGAGUGGCUUAAUUUGGUUUAAAUAGAAUUAAUUACCUUAGGGAUAACAGCGUAAUAUUUUUAGAGAGAUCUUAUUAAUAAAAAUGAUUGC